GACGAACGCUGGCGGCGUGCUUAACACAUGCAAGUCGAACGGAAAGGCCCUGCUUUUGUGGGGUGCUCGAGUGGCGAACGGGUGAGUAACACGUGAGUAACCUGCCCUUGACUUUGGGAUAACUUCAGGAAACUGGGGCUAAUACCGGAUAGGAGCUCCUGCUGCAUGGUGGGGGUUGGAAAGUUUCGGCGGUUGGGGAUGGACUCGCGGCUUAUCAGCUUGUUGGUGGGGUAGUGGCUUACCAAGGCUUUGACGGGUAGCCGGCCUGGGAGGGUGACCGGCCACAUGGGGACUGAGAUACGGCCCAGACUCCUACGGGAGGCAGCAGGGGGGAAUAUGGCACAAUGGGCGGAAGCCUGAGGCAGCAACGCCGCGUGCGGGAUGACGGCCUUCUGGUUGUAAACCGCUGUCGCCUGUGACGAAGCGUGAGUGACGGUAAUGGGUAAAGAAGCACCGGCUAACUACGUG
This 468-nucleotide ribosomal RNA is filed under the name uncultured bacterium. Its description in RNAcentral is "partial 16S ribosomal RNA". It matches the Rfam family "Bacterial small subunit ribosomal RNA", at positions 28 to 507 of the family's 1533-position model. The record is from RNAcentral.